GAUGCUACGAAAAUUAAUUUGCAUAGUAAUGUUUACUUUAAUUAAUUUGGAAAAAAAUUGAAAUGAACAAAAAUCCUAAAAUGAAAUCAGCAAAUACACAGGAUAUAUAGGAUAGGAGUUUGAAUGGAUAAGGCUAGUUCUGCGCUUGCGGUGAGAAUCGCAUCCAGCUCUCGCGGGAGGAAAUGGGAUUGUACUGCGUCAUAGCUAUAGCUCCAGUAGAUCCAUGGCCAUGCGUCCAUGGCGCUAAUCCAAUUCCAGCAGCGGCUUGCCGUUGGAGUGGCUCGGCCUCCUCCGGGCCUCGGUCUGGCCGCCGUCCGCCGUAGCCCUAGGAACAAUGGCGCGCGCGGCCGCGGCAGGAGGACGACGACGACGACAGCCUGUUCGAUGCUGGAGCCUGCAGCAAGAGGGAAGGCGGCGGUGGCGCCGACGGCGGCGG
RNAcentral lists this long non-coding RNA (436 nucleotides) under Oryza brachyantha (malo sina). Its description in RNAcentral is "long non-coding RNA (OBRA_LNC002406)". The record is from RNAcentral. Lineage: Eukaryota; Viridiplantae; Streptophyta; Magnoliopsida; Poales; Poaceae.